CCACAUAAUUAUGAAUGUUGUAAAUUGGUUUUAAAGAUGUAAUGUGUAUUAUUAUUUUUACAUAAAAGUGUAAUGUGUAUUGUAAAUUUUAAGUGAGACAGUCAAGUUGUGUUGUUUUGGUUGAAUGAUUACAUUAUACAUUCAUGUGAUAUUGUUAUGUUUUUUCAUUAUGAAUUUUCAUCCUUAAGUUUUUUUUAUUAUGAACUUUCAUCCAAUUAUGAUUUUUAGUAUCCGGAUUUUUAGUAUCCG
Molecule: long non-coding RNA, 249 nt
Filed under: Trifolium pratense (red clover)
Lineage: Eukaryota; Viridiplantae; Streptophyta; Magnoliopsida; Fabales; Fabaceae
Description: long non-coding RNA (TPRA_LNC008815)
Source: RNAcentral